Molecule: ribosomal RNA, 565 nt
Filed under: uncultured archaeon
Lineage: Archaea
Description: bacterial SSU rRNA
Rfam family: Archaeal small subunit ribosomal RNA
Source: RNAcentral
GCGAAUUCGCCCUUCGGGGUGCAGCAGGCGCGAAAACUUUGCAAUAAGCGAAAGCUUGACAGGGCUAUCCCGAGUGCCAUCCGCUGAGGAAGGCUUUUACCCAGUCCAGAACGCUGGGGGAAUAAGGAGAGGGCAAGUCUGGUGUCAGCCGCCGCGGUAAUACCAGCUCUCCGAGUGGUGUGGAUGUUUAUUGGGCCUAAAGCAUCCGUAGCUGGCUAAGUUAGUCCCCUGUUAAAUCCACCGAAUUAAUCGUUGGAUUGCGGGGGAUACUGCUUGGCUAGGGGACGAGAGAGGCAGACGGUAUUUCCGGGGUAGGGGUGAAAUCCUAUAAUCCCGGGAAGACCACCAGUGGCGAAGGCUGUCUGCUAGAACGCGCCCGACGGUGAGGGAUGAAAGCUGGGGGAGCGAACCGGAUUAGAUACCCGGGUAGUCCCAGCUGUAAACGAUGCAGACUAGGUGUUUGAACGGCCACGUGCCGUUCUAGUGCCGCAGGGAAGCUGUUAAGUCUGCCGCCUGGGGAGUACGAUCGCAAGAUUGAAACUUAAAGGAAUUGGCGGGGGAGCAC